AGAGUACGUGAAACCGUUCAGGGGUAAACCUGAGAAACCCGAAAGGUCGAAAGGGGAGAUUCAGCGUGUCUCGAUUGCGGCGCUGGAUGGUCGUGCGACGGAAGACGUACGCGUCAUCCGCACCUUCCGUCCUCCGAACCGUAGUCGAACGCGUGCACUUCUCCCCCUGUAGGACGUCGCGAUCCGUUGGGUGCCGGUCUAAGGCCCGCAGUGGAGCCCGUUCGGACGGUUUACCGUUCCGGACGAACCUGCGGUGUUUCCCGGUCGGCUCGCUCGACGGUAUACAGAUGGCGCGGGGCCGCUACACAAUAGUUAGCGUCCGACCGGCGGCAAGCGCGCUCGUCGCGACGGUGAUCGGACCUGGUGCCGGUCCUGUCCCCGAGUGGCUGUUCGCUGCCGUGUUCUCGGACAGACCUCGUCGAAACGCCGAUCUGCGACGCUAUAGCUUUGGGUACUUUCAGGACCCGUCUUG
Molecule: ribosomal RNA, 472 nt
Filed under: Stenomorpha confluens
Lineage: Eukaryota; Metazoa; Arthropoda; Insecta; Coleoptera; Tenebrionidae
Description: eukaryotic LSU rRNA
Source: RNAcentral